This 124-nucleotide transfer RNA is filed under the name Acaryochloris sp. CCMEE 5410. Its description in RNAcentral is "tRNA-OTHER". It matches the Rfam family "tRNA". Rfam says of the family: Transfer RNA (tRNA) molecules are approximately 80 nucleotides in length. Lineage: Bacteria; Bacillati; Cyanobacteriota; Cyanophyceae; Acaryochloridales; Acaryochloridaceae. The record is from RNAcentral.
GAGUGGGUCGCUCAAACGGUAGAGCACCAUUUAUUGCCCGCAAGGGCCGCAGGAAAUAAGGUUAUCGCUUUUAACGACUUGUCCUUUAUCCGUCGGGAUGCGGGUUCGACUCCCGCUCCACUCC